GAUGAAGAACGCAGCGAAAUGCGAUAAGUAGUGUGAAUUGCAGAAUUCAGUGAAUCAUCGAAUCUUUGAACGCACAUUGCGCCCUUUGGUAUUCCUUAGGGCAUGCCUGUUCGAGCGUCAUUUAAACCUUCAAGCUAAGCUUGGUGUUGGGUGACUGUCCGCCUCACGGCGGACUCGCCUCAAAAUUAUUGGCGGCCGGUACAUUGGCUUCGAGCGCAGCAGAAACGCGAACUCGGGCCCGUCGUAUUGGCUCCCAGAAGCUAUCUUCACAAUUUUGACCUCGGAUCUGGUAGGGAUACCCGCUGAACUUAAGCAUAUCAAUAAGCGGAGGA
This 332-nucleotide unclassified non-coding RNA is filed under the name soil metagenome. RNAcentral describes it as "partial contains 5.8S ribosomal RNA, internal transcribed spacer 2, and large subunit ribosomal RNA". The stretch from base 1 to 120 matches the Rfam family "5.8S ribosomal RNA", at positions 35 to 154 of the family's 154-position model. The record is from RNAcentral.